Non-coding RNA from Nephila pilipes (giant wood spider), 98 nucleotides. The record is from the annotation of a GenBank genome assembly. NCBI's taxonomy places the organism in Eukaryota, Metazoa, Arthropoda, Arachnida, Araneae, Nephilidae.
GCCGCGGUAGCCUAGUGGUCAUGGCCGUGAACUCGAUGCUGUCGUCGUCGAGUCGUGGGUUCGAGCUUGUGAUGUUACUAAAAACCCGCUGUGUAGCU